Miniopterus natalensis is the source of this 541-nucleotide non-coding RNA. NCBI's taxonomy places the organism in Eukaryota, Metazoa, Chordata, Mammalia, Chiroptera, Miniopteridae. The record is from RefSeq and is a predicted model, not a curated record.
AAACGAUGUCGAUCAACUCACAAACCCCAUAUUCGGUGACUUCCCAGUCCUUUGAGAAACACCUAGAUUUUAACCAUGGAAACAGCAUCUGCUCAGAACCGGGACUGGUGCAGCAUUCUCCCCUUCGUCUCCACUCCUCUCCUGUCCAUUCCAUCUCAGACACAACCGCCACCAGAAGAGUCUGCCUGAAGCACGGUCCCUGCCACAUAUCCCGCCUCAUUCCCCCAAUGCUCCAGGAUUCUCAUUAUUCACGUAAAUGACAUAAGCUCCUCAAGGACAAAGGCUGUGUAUUCCCAGCUCUGCACCGUCUACUGAGCCUCAGCCUUUCACUCCACUGAUACUUGCUGAGCAUCUACUAUGUGCUGGGUAUUGAAGAUAGUGUUGGGCCUGACCCAGCCCUUACUGUCCUGGAGCUUACAGUCUAGAAGGUGCUCAAAACUGUUCACUGGAUAAAUAACAAAACUGAUUAGUCAGUUAGAAAAAAUGAAAAUACAGACUUGGGGACUGAGAUCUAAAUUUAAUAAAAAUGAAAAAAGUUUUA